UACGUAGGGGGCAAGCGUUGUCCGGAAUUAUUGGGCGUAAAGAGCUCGUAGGCGGUUUGUCGCGUCUGCUGUGAAAACUCGGGGCUUAACCCCGGGCCUGCAGUGGGUACGGGCAGACUAGAGGGCGGUAGGGGAGACUGGAAUUCCUGGUGUAGCGGUGAAAUGCGCAGAUAUCAGGAGGAACCCCGGUGGCGAAGGCGGGUCUCUGGGCCGUAACUGACGCUGAGGAGCGAAAGCGGGGGAGCGAACAGG
Molecule: ribosomal RNA, 252 nt
Filed under: uncultured bacterium
Lineage: Bacteria
Description: partial 16S ribosomal RNA
Rfam family: Bacterial small subunit ribosomal RNA
Source: RNAcentral